Molecule: long non-coding RNA, 1101 nt
Organism: Cyprinus carpio carpio
Lineage: Eukaryota; Metazoa; Chordata; Actinopteri; Cypriniformes; Cyprinidae
Source: Ensembl
ACAGUUAAGCCAAAAAAUAAAGAUGGCGUCUGAAAGUUGUGGUCGGUGGUCAGUUUGUGAGUAAAUCAUCAUUCUACUUUUGCUUCAGACUGACAGUGAUCCUGAUGACCCUGAAAUUCUGAGUAGUCCAGCACCUUCAUUGUGCAAUUUGUGAAGUCUCUAACUGCAGACAAGAACUGACAGUAUCCCUCGUUCCUACACGCCCUUUCCGCUGACCUUUCCUGUCUGCUUUUCUCUGGUCCAGGCGAGAGUGAUGAAGCCUCUCAGUGCUCAGGCCAGUAUGACUAAGACAGAACAAGAUUACCUGUGACAUGGGCAGGGGAACAGAGGCACUAGAGUGUUUAUUCAGUGACACGGGCGUGCUGCAGUGCAUUGUGGGGCUGGAGUCGAUGCAUGUUCCAAUGAACUGCCUCAUUCGUCUCGAUAUGACCAGUCUGUGGUCUCUCUCUCUCCCUAAUGGUGCUGUUGUUCUGUCCUGAUGACCAUUUGUGGGAUUGGACGGAGGCAGCCGUGCCUGACUUGGGGGCUGAUGGUCCACUGAUUGCACAGAUGUCCCUAAGAAGGCGAGAUGCUGUGGAAAUGAUGGAUGACGUGAGUCCUGCCCCUCUGCCCUCGGCUAUCAAGCGCUGUCUGGAAAACAACGGAAAACCUCUCAAUCAACGGAGACUGUCCGGAAGUUUAAAAUGAAACUAGUUUGAGAUGUAAAAGAUGUGCUGGUGUGUUACCUGUUGGAGAGCUUGAACUCCUGCAAGUUUUACAGUUUGUAUACGUAAGAUAGAGACUGCUGGGUGAUAUGGCCAAAAAAUAUGGCAUAAUAUCGAUAUUUACGUAGCAUGAUAUUCAUUUACCAUUAAAUAGAGAAGAAAAUGCUUUUCACAUGUAUGAAUAAAAAAAUGACCAGUCUGUUCACAAUUUAACUUUGAAGAGUAGCUUCCUUUUAAUUUAGCACUCUGUGAAAUCCAUUUUUUCCCUAAGAUUUUUUUAAAUUCUGUAUUUUAUUAUUUAAUACAAGUUUAUCAUCACAACUUGUCUAAGUAAACAUUAACAACUUAAUUAUCUUUUAAAAUGUAAUCACAAUAUGAUAUUUAUAACAAAACAUAG